RNAcentral lists this microRNA precursor (97 nucleotides) under Nicotiana sylvestris (wood tobacco). Its description in RNAcentral is "MIR6152 microRNA precursor family". It matches the Rfam family "MIR6152 microRNA precursor family". The record is from Rfam by way of RNAcentral. Lineage: Eukaryota; Viridiplantae; Streptophyta; Magnoliopsida; Solanales; Solanaceae. RNAcentral also lists the same sequence under 1 other name.
UGGACAGAUUAUGGUAUUCGACUAUAUUCACGGCGUGAAAUAGGGGAUUACACUGUUUUUAAAAUGGAAAGUGAAUCAAUUAACAUAAUAAACUCCU